RNAcentral lists this ribosomal RNA (451 nucleotides) under Campylobacter jejuni. RNAcentral describes it as "partial 23S ribosomal RNA". It matches the Rfam family "Bacterial large subunit ribosomal RNA", at positions 1 to 471 of the family's 2925-position model. The record is from RNAcentral. Lineage: Bacteria; Pseudomonadati; Campylobacterota; Epsilonproteobacteria; Campylobacterales; Campylobacteraceae.
AAAGGUAAGCUACUAAGAGCGAAUGGUGGAUGCCUUGACUGGUAAAGGCGAUGAAGGACGUACUAGACUGCGAUAAGCUACGGGGAGCUGUCAAGAAGCUUUGAUCCGUAGAUUUCCGAAUGGGGCAACCCAAUGUAUAGAGAUAUACAUUACCUAUAUAGGAGCGAACGAGGGGAAUUGAAACAUCUUAGUACCCUCAGGAAAAGAAAUCAAUAGAGAUUGCGUCAGUAGCGGCGAGCGAAAGCGCAAGAGGGCAAACCCAGUGCUUGCACUGGGGGUUGUAGGACUGCAAUGUGCAAGAGCUGAGUUUAGCAGAACAUUCUGGAAAGUAUAGCCAUAGAGGGUGAUAGUCCCGUAUGCGAAAAACAAAGCUUAGCUAGCAGUAUCCUGAGUAGGGCGGGACACGAGGAAUCCUGUCUGAAUCCGGGUCGACCACGAUCCAACCCUAAAU